RNAcentral lists this ribosomal RNA (453 nucleotides) under uncultured bacterium. Its description in RNAcentral is "partial 16S ribosomal RNA". It matches the Rfam family "Bacterial small subunit ribosomal RNA", at positions 29 to 523 of the family's 1533-position model. The record is from RNAcentral.
AACGAACGCUGGCGGCAUGCCUAACACAUGCAAGUCGAACGGAUGCAGCAAUGCAUCAGUGGCAGACGGGUGAGUAACACGUGGGAAUCUACCCAGUAGCCUGGAAUAACCGCGGGAAACUGCGGCUAAUACCGGAUACGCCCCUCGGGGGAAAGGAGCAAUCCACUAUUGGAGGAGCCCGCGUCCGAUUAGCUAGUUGGUGAGGUAACGGCUCACCAAGGCGAUGAUCGGUAGCUGGUUUGAGAGAACGACCAGCCACACUGGGACUGAGACACGGCCCAGACUCCUACGGGAGGCAGCAGUGGGGAAUAUUGGACAAUGGGGGAAACCCUGAUCCAGCAAUGCCGCGUGGGUGAUGAAGGCCUUCGGGUUGUAAAGCCCUUUUGGCGGGGACGAUGAUGACGGUACCCGCAGAAGAAGCCCCGGCUAACUUCGUGCCAGCAGCCGCGGUAA